CCCAAGUAGCUGGGAUUACAAGCGCCUGCCAACACGCCCAGCUAAUUUUUGUAUUUUUAAUAGAGAUGGGGUUUCACCAUUUUGGCCAGGCUGGUCCUGAACUCCUGACCUCCUGAUCCACCUGCCUCGGCCUCCCAAAGUGCUGGGAUUACAGGCGUGAGCCACUGCGUCCGGCCUUGCCUCACCGUUAAAAGACUACAAUAUGACGUGAUACAUCAGCUUUUUCGAAGUCCAGUGUACGUCAGACCCUGAGGCCUGCAGUAUCUGGAAUGGUGUUGCUGGAUGUGCAAAACUGCCAGGCUCUGGCUUGUGGUGUUCUCAUCUACCAGAUCAUUCCUGGGAGGCCCAAUUUGGCCAGCUGGCUCACCUCUGCCGGUGGUAUUGCUAGCAUUGCACAUUGGAACUGCAGCUUGGGAAAGUGAUAGAAACCAAACACAUGGUGGGUACAAAGCAAGUUUGUUGUAUUUUAUCCACAUUAGUAUUUUGGAUGUUUCAAUAUUUAAACAUUUCAAAAAGCAAAAUCAAUGAUAAUACUUCUUGAAUGUGUUGUGAACAAUGCAAGCCUUUUAUUAAAAAUUAUGGAAUAUUCGAAAGAAAUGUUUUUCUUACAAGAGAGCAGAGAAUAAUUACUCAGGGUUCCUGUGUCAAAGCCUCUAGGGCCCCUUUACUGUCCAGAAUUCUUAGUAAGUGGAAAACCUUUCCCAAGCACAAUGAAGUCUCAACCCUGAUACGGGCAGGACAGCAAAAGACCUGUCUCCUCUUUCCAGAGCAAACCCCAGUGGUUGCACCUGUCCUCCCAUUACACUUUGGGGAUAAACCCUGGAGGCCAUAGUGUAGGGGACCAGUUUCAUGGGUCUUGUUGCCAAAGCUUACUUUUUUGAUCCUACUGCUAAAUUCUGACCCUUCCUCCAAUUGAUCUGCUUUCCAAAAAGAGCAUACCAACACCUGCACAAACCAUUUGAUGUGGUGCAGUAAGCUGUUUCAUCCAAGUGUUCCAAAGCCAUAGGAUGAGCAAGGGGGAAAAACUUAGACCUGUAUAGGAUCUUCCCCCAGGUAGUUACUCUUUCACAGGGGGUGCAUGGGAGACAGGCUGCUGUUGUGCCAUCCUUUCCAUUACAUAAUGAUAACAACUGUUACUUGGAAUGCUUUAAUGCUUGAUGUUAUUUAUGUUUAAAUAUUUGCUGUAUUCCUGGCUCUGUGCUAAAUGCUAUGCCUGCAUCUUAAAAAAUCCUUAAAAUAACUCAAGGUAGGUACCAUUGUUGCUUCCAUUCUCCAGAUGGGACACUAAGACUUUAAGAAGUUAAAUAGCUCACCUGAAAACACACAGCUAGUAAGUAACACAAUGGAGACUUGAACCCAAGUCUAUUCUACUCUAGACCAUGGACUCCAAGAUUAAUUAAUUAUGCAAAUAAGGAAUGUGGAGAGUUCAGCCUUGAGCAAAGGGAGAUUAGCUUGUUUUGCACCAACUCUUCUGCUGAGGAAAGGACAAAAGCCAGAAUAUACAUACCUAUUCAGGGAUCAGAGGGCUGUUGAGAAAGCAAGGGCUAAUAUUCGAGAGACCUACAUUUGAUACUGUUCGUUUCCCCCUCAAGGGACUUGCUAAUUCAAGGGCAGGGGCUGAGAAACUGAACAGAAUUUGUAGAAGACUAAUGCAGACCAAAAAUUAGAGUUGGGGUCCAAGUAGAAGCAGCCCUGGAAAACACCCCAGACUUUCUCGUGGGACCCCAAAGAGCUACUCUUUGAUUAAAGGUGAAUUGGUUAUGGGCCUGUCCUCACAAGGACUGAAGCCCAGCCUCAGAUCUAGUGGAUAGCCAGAAGCAAAAACAAAGCCCCUCUGAAGGAGGACAUGGUCUAAUUUCUCAAAUUUUCUCUAUUAAUUGUUUUCAAAGUCUGCUUAAGAAAUAGGAAUGCAAAAACACAAGAUUCGACCAACAAUGAGAAAGUGAACAAUAGAAACAGACCUCCAGGAAAUUCACGUAGUUAACAUUAUCUGACCGGUGUCUUACAAUAACUAUGAUUAAAAUGUUCAUGAAUUAAAUGACCAAAUGGAACAACUUCAGGAGAGAACUGGACACUAUGUUUAAAAUUCUAGAAUUGAAAAAUAAUAUAACAAUUUAAGAAAUCAGUAGAUGGCUCUGAUAGACACAACUUAAGAGAUAGGUAAUGAAAUGAAAGAUAAGAAAAUAUCCAGACUGGUGCUGGGGGUAAAUAGGAAGACAACUAUUCGAAGAGUUAAUGGUUAAGGUUGUUCCCAAAUUAAUGAAAGACAUUAAGCCACAUAAAUAAGAAAUGCUGUUGACCUCUAAGCAGGAUAAGUUACAAUGAAAGUUAUACUUAAUUACUUCAUAGUAAAACUACUGGAAAACAAAGACUAAUUUUAAAAGUAGCCAGAGGAAAAAUAUAUAUUACUUUCAAAGGAGCAACAGCAAGCCUUGAGAGGGAAUUUUCAGCAGAAGUAAUGAUAGUGGAAAAUGGAAUGGUGUUUUCAAAGAGCUUCAAGAAAAUAAUAGUCAACCUAGAAGACUAUGAGGCAAAAAUAUCCUUCCAAAGACACGUCCAGACAAAGGAAAAUAGAAUUUGCCACCAAUGAAAAGUACCAAAAGUAUGAAAGGAAAGUACUAAAGGGUGUUGUUGGAGCAGAAGGAAAAUGAUCACUGACCACAGCUGGAGGUGCAGAAAGGCAUUGAAAGGCAAUGGAAAGGGUAAGUAUGUGUAUAAAACUAAAUAAAUAUUGAAUGUGUGAAACAACUUUUUACUUUCUGGGGUCUUAAAUAUAUAAAGAACUAAAAUACAUCACCAAGAGAAGCACGUUAAGUGUGGAGGGAGGUAAAUGUAGGGGUCCCCAACAUUUCUGGCACCAGAGACCAGUUUUGUGGAAGAUAAUUUUUUCCCAGACAGUGGGUGGAGGGGUGGAGGGAUUGGGAGCAUGGUGUUGGGAUGACACUGUCCCACCUUAAAUCAUCAGGCAUUAGAUUCUCAUAAGGAGUGCACAACCUAGAUCCCUCACAUGCACAGUUCACAAUAGGGUUAGCGCUCCUAUGAGAAUCUAAUGCUGCUGUUGGUCUGACAGGAGGUGGAGCUCAGGCGGUAAUGCUUGCUGGCUUGCCACCCAUCUCUUGCUGUGCAGCCCAGUUCCUGACAGGCCACUGACCAGUACUGGUUCACAGCCUGGGGACUGUGGACCCCUGGGUAAAUGGAAUUAAAGUAUUCUGAAGUCCUUGAAUUGUCUUGAAAGUGAAAAUGGUGGAGGCACUGAUUUAUAUUAGAAAUUAAUAAAUCAGGGGUACAUGUUUCAGUUUCUACGGUAUUUUGUAAAAGAAUAAGAGUAUGUAAAACUAACAAGAUAACAGAAGGAGAAUAUGAAAUAAAAUAAUCCAAAGGAAGGCAAAAAGAAAAAAAGGCGCAUAGAACAGAUGGGAACAAAUAGAAAACAAACACCCACAUGCAUCAAUCUCUACAUCAAGCAUAUGUGGACUAAAUAUUCCAAUUCAAAGGCAAUAUUAUUAUCACCCUGGAUAAAGAACAAAUAUAAUUCUCUGAGACUUAAAAACAACAUACCUUAAACAAGGAUACAGAAAGAUGGAAAGUAAAAGGAUGGAAAAAGGACUAUCAUGCAAGUAUUAACCAAAAGGAAGCUGGUGUAUUUAGUACACGAAGUGAACUUUCAGGUAUUACCAGAGUAUGAAGGAUAUUUCAUAAUGAUAAAGGGCUUGCUUUACCAGUACUAUACCGAUGGCUGAGGUAUUUGGGCUGUCUGUGAGGCUCAGAUGGGCUGCCUGUGGCCCUGCCUCACCUUGGAGAUGGCCCAGGAAGCUAACUGAGACUUGGAGUUGGUCGAAGAGGAGCCAGACUCUAAAUAUUUGAAGAUUGUGUGCGUAUGUGUGUGUGUGUUUAGGGGAAAACAUGAGAGGUAGAGUACUAUUCAAAAGGACAAGAAGUGGAACAUUUUCUUUUAUAAAUCAAAUAAAUGGUGGCUCUGAGCCUUCCCCCACCUCCUGCCUUUUUUGGGUCCAGAUUGCUAAGAAAUGUUAUUAAUGAUAGCUCACACUUACGACAUUAUUGCCUUCUAAGUGCUUUGUAGGUAUUAAUUUAUUUAAUCCUCACAACAGCCUUAGGAGACAGGCAUCAUCACUACCAUCGCCAUUUUACAGAUGGAAAAACCAGCAACCAUCAGAGCUGGUAUUCAAAAUAAGCCAAUUCAGAUUCCGAGUCCCGGCUCCUAACCAUGGAGUGGCCUCAGGGUUUUAUAGUUUGUCCGGCUCUUUGGAUGAACAUCACACCUCAUGGAGGAGAGUCCCUUCCAUUUUAACGGCUCCAGGUUGUCAUGGAAAUCCUCUGUAUACAAGAGGGUAAGGAGGAGGAUGAGAAGCAAUACAUGCUUAUUGGGACUUUCUAUCAUCCCAGGACUUAUCCAGGUACAUUAUAACAAUGUUGAAUACAGUAUUAGUCCCAUUUUAACUAUGAGGAAAAUAAGGUUUGGACUGUCAGAGACAGAGCAAGACACAUUGGUAAGGGCAGACAAGGGAUUCAUCUGACUCCAAUGCCUCUUCCUUGGUAAACCAGACUGGCUUGUCACACCGUGAAAUUAGAGUCAACUUGUUAAAUCUUGACAGGUUGCUAAAUUAUUAAUUACACCCCCAGGAGCUGUGACUGGAGCAGCAGGGAUGCUAUGGCUGCACUGUACUAUUUUUAGCACUAGAUGGUGCUGUAACACUGCACAUCUCUUCCGCGGUGGCCCUUGGAGGAAGGUUACUUCAGGGCUUGGAGACCCUGGAGGGAAGGAUGCUACCUUACCAGAGCGUGAAAAAAACAUGGAAGACAGGAUACUCUCGGGCCCUGAGAAAGCUGGAGACUGUAGCCACCAGGUGGCUCCAGGAUGUGCAGUACUGGCGUCUGGGUUUUGCUCACACAACCGUGAACUCCUGGUCCCACCGAGCCCUAGCGAGUGGAUUGGAGCACACACCCACCCACCUCCUCAGAGCUCCUACGAGUAGAGGAGGUACCUAGGCACGUGGGAGCUUGGCGCCUUGUUAGGUGCUCAGGAUACUGGUUGUCCGGAAUCCCAGUGAGGUGCAGUCCCGCCCUUGUGCCACUUUCCCAUGCGCUUCCUGCCCCUCUGGGGGCUGCAGAGGCUGCAGAGUUGUCCAGCUUGAGAAACUGUAUCAAGGUUGCUCCCUGACGGCCUGGCAACUCGCUGAAGAGCUGCCUUCAGUUCAGAACAGUUUUAGGGAGAUUGUCAUAAACUCAAUGAGUUUAAAUGAUUUUACACUGACUCUUCAAAAAUGUCAAGGUCAUGAAAGACAAAGGCCGAGGAACUGCCCCAGACUGGAGGAGGCGGGAGACAUGGCAGCUGUGAAUGCACCGUGGGUCCUGAACCAGAAAAAGGAGCUCAGUGGGACGAUUGGUAACUUUUUGAUGCAAUCUGUCGCAUCUGAAAAGAAAACACAAGAGGUUCGGUUGGUGCAAUGUUCCUUUCUUCCCAGGACUUUCUGGUCUUCAAGGCUUUCUCAUGAGACAGAAGACUGAUGGAUGUAGAAGUUUCUAAGAGGACAGUUACGCUGCCAUGUUUUGAAGCAGGAAGACGUUACCACUUCUCAAAGGUCUUUAAUUGCCUGACCACUGCUUCUCUUUGGAAGGCUGUCAGGGUGAUGGAAUCUCAGAUCACAGCACAGAUAAAAUGGACAAAGAAAGAAAGAUACAAGAAGGAUGUAAAAAUGUCCAUAAUGAACUCAUGUAUCUUGCGGAAACCUCUAAUCUAAUGAGAAUGGAUUUUGUUGAGAAGAUUGUACACCAACAAUUAAUUAUUCAUGGCAGAGA
This 5817-nucleotide long non-coding RNA is filed under the name Homo sapiens (human). Its description in RNAcentral is "HSALNT0340255". Lineage: Eukaryota; Metazoa; Chordata; Mammalia; Primates; Hominidae. The record is from RNAcentral.